This is a long non-coding RNA of Mus musculus (house mouse), 6252 nucleotides long. RefSeq annotates it as RIKEN cDNA A330001L22 gene. Lineage: Eukaryota; Metazoa; Chordata; Mammalia; Rodentia; Muridae. The record is from RefSeq and is a predicted model, not a curated record. The transcript is spliced from 2 exons.
GAAAGAAGAGGGGAGGCGCUGUGCAUGCUGACUUGUACCUGGAUCUGGGUGCACAGUGCGUAUGCACUCCUGUGCCGCUGGGCGACUUCCAUAACGUCCGCUCCGGGGUUACUCCCAGAAACUCGUAGAAAGUAGAAGGGGGUGAGAAGAGGACACACCCCCUUGCUCGGAGGGACUUGGGAGACUUUGAAUUUCCCCUCCCCCCACUUUUCCGCAGAGCUCUUCUUUUGUUGUCAAGUCCUUUUGAUAAAUGGUGGGGCUGGGAGAGCUGGGAGCCAGGAGCCGAUCUGCGCCCUGCGCAGGGGCGGGGGCCCAGCCUGGAGACCGGGUUCGGACCACCGCGCACCCUGAGCUGAACCGGGCACGCUCAGGGGACUUUUCCUUCUGUUUGCCAGCCUAUUUCUUUCCUACCAUCCCAGUCCCCCUUCCCUUCUGUUUCUGUCCACGCGGAUAACGAGAACUUUCUGGGGUGGGGGUGAGUUAUAUAAUUUUCUCGUAAGUAUUCUUUCACAGAGUUUUGAUUUUAUUCCUUGAUUCCUUAGGUUGGCAAAGUUAAUGGGAUGGUAACUCGAUUAAUGGUAAUUUGGAAAGAAGAGCGGCUGGGGCUGGUGUGUGUGUGUGUGUGUGUGUGUGUGUGUGUGUGUGUGUUAAGAACAUUGGCUGUUUGUGAUCCUCCUGCGACAAUUGAGAAAGGUAAAUUUGUGAGACUAUGGCAAGAUCACAGGCACCUUUGUGAAGGUGCCUGAAUGAUCUCUGGAGUAAGAAGUCCAGCUUACGUUUUGGCAGAAUGGCAACCCCAAACUCUGCCGGGUAAGGUCUCUGAAGCUGCUUGCAGCCUGCGGGGUGUUAGUGCCUGCCGGUGUCUCCCACUGUAUGGCUCUAAAGGUGUCACCCUCUGGUCAGCUCCUGUGGUCCUAGCAUAGGAAGCUAGGCCUUGGGCCACCUGCCAUAUUGGCCUCUUUCAUAGGCCUGGAGAGUGAGAGUUGACGCUGUGGACAGAACUGAGGAGAGCAGGAGCAAGCGCGGGCCUAGGGUGUCCUCUUCGCUCCGGGGGUUCAGUUUCUAGGCUCAGUUUGUCUCUUUUCCUCCAAUUCCAGUAGUUUUCUCAUUGCGCUGGGCAGUUCAAGGGAGGCCACCCCAGCUCUUCAAGACUGGUAGAAUCGUGGAAUGGCUCUCGUCCCACGUAGAUUACAUGCGCUCACCGGUGUGCGCCGCCGGGCUCCGUGAGCUCCGACUGCCGCGUUAAAACUCAACUCCGAAGGUCGGAGCGCACGGGGGCGCCUGGGGGUCUGCGUUCCCCGGGCUUUGGGGAGGCACCAGCAUCUGAGCCUGCGCACCUCUCAAGGGAGGCCAAAUCUCUGAAGGCCGAGUAAGCUGUGGAAGUUGGAGGGGGUGUGGGGGGAUAUAUUGUUAUUAAUUACUUCAGGCUAGGCCUAAUGCUUCCAACCCUCAGAGGUGGUUGGCAUGGACGUCCUGCGGAUUUUAUUUGCACACAAUGGACAUGAUUUGUUUUCUAAAAAAAAAAAAAAAAAAAAAAAAAGGGUGUGGGCAUGGCAGAUAUUUGAGGAGGAGGUGGAGGGAAGAAGGCGGAAGGGAAGAGAGCCGAGGAAAAAAGUUUGAAAAUGCCUUGAACUAUUCACUGUCGAGAUGGCUAAUCAGUAUUGAGGCCGGAGGGCAGGCGGGCCGCCUUUCACCACCGCUUCCCUUUCAUCUCUGGCUCGGCGGAGGCGCUCAAUUAAAAGCCUAUCAGUUUGUAAGUAAAUCAACGCCUAUCAGAGUUGUCACAUCAAACAAAACGAUUAUUAUUGCAGCCCGCCUCCCCUAUUAAUCUCCCUCGAAGAUAAUCCGCCUGACAGGUCAGGCCCGGCAAGUUGGAAAGCCUGGCCCAGAGCGCCCUAAGAGUCCUGGACUGGAGCAGGCCCCCAGGGGUCUCUGCACCCAGGUUCUGUUCCGCUGAGCAAUCCUUCCUGGAAGAGUGAGGGAAAGAGCAAGCUGAGGCUGCUGGACCCAUUCCCUCCCCACCAAAUUACAGUUAGACGCGAGAUUCCCAGGGGCCGCUGAGAUGACGGUCACGCCCAAGCCUAACAGCUUUUCAAACCAGCGAGACUUAGGGCGGGACGAGACUUGUGGCCCGGCUUAGUCCUGGGACCCCGACAUAGUCUGCACUCUUCUGGGUUUGCCUCUUUUUGUUUCCAUUAUAGUUUUUUUAUUUUAUAUUAUUAUAUUAUUUAUUUUUUAACUCUCUGAACCUUUCCCUCUUCAUUUCCUCUCUCUUUUCCUUUUUCUGAGUUGUCAGGGAAUAUUUCUUAUUGCCUUACUCCGCCUCCCCUGCCUCCCCGCCUGCUCCACGUAUAAAUGUCUGCAUGGCAGUCCUGUUCUCAGGAGCAGGGCAUUCUCAGGGCCCGGGUUCCUUCUUUCUCCACAGGAGUGCAUGCGAGUCCCAGGUUUUCUUUCUUUCUUUCUUUUUUCCUGCAAAUAAAUAAAUAUUCCCCCUAGUUUCUUUCCCAAGUUAGGACUUUUAGAGGCUCAUAAAGGUUUUGUGUAUUUGGGGGACAGGGAAUUAAUUCAGCCAGUGCAGGAUAGCUAAAUAUGUGGGCUGUUGCAAGCCCCCUGUUUGGGAUCAGUAUCUUGCCCCGGAAUUUUACAGUUCCAGCCUUCUUGACCUGGCCAAUAUCCUCUUUGGAGCUUCACCGGGCGUUGGGAUCUCAGCACUUAGUGUAUGAAGGAGUGCUUAGGAUUUCUUAGUAAAUACACCUAGGUUAUUUCUUCUAUGACCUCAAGCUAGAGCCUCAAGGACUGGAAGGGGUUUGGCUUCUAGAUCUCUGAAUUGUGGCCUUCUUGCUGGUGUCUCUGGCUUCCCAGUUUGGUAAUGUCUUGGAGUUGAGCACCAACCACCUUUCUAUGAUAUGCUUUGGUCUAAGCUCAGACCCAAGUGGCCACUGCCAGAACCGGACUAAGCCAGGACUGGGAGCUGGCUGAAGUGUCUGAGGUGAAAGGGUGGUUGGAGGGAUCCAGGGCCUACUAAUUUAAAUGCCAGAUCUUCUCUAAGACACUGUCUGGGGUCGCCAUCCAUAAGCGCCCCAAAGGUGCUGUGCAGUUGAACAUCCACACUAAACAUCCCCAGCUGGCAGCUGUUUUGCUGGGAUUGAAGGCUGGGACUAUCCAACAAGACCUAUUUCAGACUGCUUGGUGCCCUGGGCUGCAGGACUAGGGAUCCCCACACAAGCCCCCUCAAAGUCCCUCAGUUCGUACUUACUUUCCAGUCUUAUGAAAAUAAUUUAUUUCUAAACUCAGAAAUACGGUAUAUUUACAUAUGCAUGUAUGUAUAUAUAUAUAUAUAAUAUAAUGUAAUAUAUAUGUGUGUAUACACACGCAUACAUAUAUAUAUAUUGAAUGAUGCACGGUGGCUCAGUUAUCUGCCUACCUGGAUUUCUUAUGCAUUUAUUUAUGUCACCUCCACUGUACUGCAGAUACCUAAAGAGCUAUAGACAGAGCUCUAUUCAGCUCUGGCUGUAGGAAAUAUUCACUAGGUGAUUAUUAGACAUAAGUUCUAGCUUGGGCCCCGAUAACACUCAAGCAAGGAAUGUAAAAAAAAUACAUCACAAGUAAGGACAAAACCAAACCAACCCUUGCUUUAUAAUUUUCCCAAUUUAAUUAUAUGUGCACCCAUUUAGAAUGUAAGAAUAUGUAUUUUUAUCCUAUAGGCAUCAAUUUCCAGACUUAUGUGCCCUUGAAACCAGAAGCAAUAAAUGGUGUUGGUACUGAGCACUGAGAUGUUUGUAUAAUUUUACCUUCACAUGGAUAAAGCUUACACAUGGCUCUGCAAUAAAUUCAAUCUUGUCAUUUUUAGGAUUGAGAGGAUAUCUCUGGCCUUCGUUGGUGUCAUAUUAAACUGAGUAAGUCCAACCAGCAGGCAUCCAACUGAAAAUGUCUCCCGGGUGGCAUGUACCGGUGAGCCUAGGCUCAGUUGCAGGCGCGAGAUGACUCCCCAUGCCUAGGAGGUAGUGGUUUCAGCCCUACUGUUCUCUUGGUGCCCAAGGUUUCAUGGCCUAGUAGCUCAAGCUUUAGAAACCUACAGGGUUUCUAGAGUCCGCCCCCAGCGAAAACUGAAAGCAAAUUCCACAGCAGAGUCUGAACUUUGCUUCAAGCAAGUUUUCUCCAGAGAAUUAGAGGUGGCUUUGGGAGGCCAAAGUUAGUGUGAGCACACGAGGGAGGGGACCUGGUGGCCUAGCUUGGCCAGAGGCAAAUUGAAGGCACCCUCUUCCUUAUUUCUGUUACUCCUUAGUGCCCACCUCCGGUCUGCUGCCGACGCCCAGCAUGGGUGUCUACAGUUCGCACCGGGUGGUAAAGGAGAAGUAGCUUUGUACAGAGCCUUGCUCAGAGUACUCUGCCUGAUCCAGCUUGAGAAAAUUUGAGUCCAGAUCACCUUCUGCGGGGAAGAGUGGUUAGAAGUUAAUCCGAGCAGUCCCUGGCCUAGCUCUGUGUCCUAACUUCCAGCUAGCGUAUGAUGGGGCGCGGAGAAAAGCUGUGUCUGGAAGCUGAGCAAGCCCUGGGACUUCGCUCCCGCUGACGACGUUGCUAGGCCUCCUGAGGAGGUCCGCUCGGCUUGGGACCAAGUGCAAGUUUCCUAAUCUUGGGGGGGGGGGGAACCAAAAGAUAAUUUGUAACCUUCUUUGAAGCUGAAGCCACAUUUUCCAAGGAAGAAGUUUAAAAAAGGAAGAGUUUAACAAACACAAGUAAUAAUAACAACCCAUCGUGUUUCGUGUUCUUUGCCAGUACAUCGAUUUUAUUGAUUUUCAUUCUGCAAACAUGGGAGUGUGCGCACCCGGUGGGGCAGCUGUCAGUACGCAGUCACCACGCAGAGUGGGUGGGGGAAAAUCCUCAGUUGUCACCGCUCCAUCUCCCACCCCAUCUAUUCAGUUCAACAGCUUCCAGGCACAAUGGAGACUGCUCAAGACGCGGGGACACAAAUGAUCCGGUCCCCAAGCUGAAGGGCUUCAGUCCCGCCCCUUCUAUCUGCCCAGCUCCAGCACCAUUCCGGGGCUCCGCGUUCUCUCUCCCCCACCACUGCAGGAUCAACACAGUCUCUACCUCUCUCCAAGUCAAUCUUUCCCUGGAGGCACCUACACCUGCGCCCUUACUUGCCCACACUUUACCUGUGAGCUUCUCAGCGGCGCCAGCGGCCCCGCGGAUAACCGAGAAAGGAUGGGGAGGGCGGGAAAGUGGGAGGGUCAGAGAGCAGCCAGUUGUUCCGAGCCAGGAUCCUCCUUCUAGACCCGAAGCUGGGGUGCAGGUUUAAGUCGCUCUAGGAGCUGAAUUGAGCGCGGGAGGGAGACCCAGGGGUGGGCGGGCCCAGGGCCAGCAGCACUUCCGCUGGGGUGGGGCUGAGGGCUGACGUGGGCUCCGCCCUCUGCCGCGUCGACCCGCCUCCUACAAUUCAGUCUUCAUAGCUGAGAGUUUCUUCAGUACCAGUCCAAAGCCUGAAGGCAGUGGCAGCUCCCUUUUCCUACCUGCCUUUACUUUCUUUUUACAUCCUGAGAACAGAAGGACCUACUAUCAAGAGCCUAGGCCCCAGGUAGAGUCCACCCCCCACCCCCAAGAUUUAUCCAAACUUCCGUCCUUUGGUGGACUCACCUGGUGCAGAGUCCUCCACGCUUUCUCUGGUAUUCAACCAUAGGUUCUGUAGAAUAGGUGGGAGUACAACCAGUGCCUCCGGGGUCUCAUCUUUCAGUAGGAACAAAACUGUUUUUUCCACAUUAAGUACUUUUAUGCAACUGCAUGUCAUUAAAUAAAUCUACAUCUCAUUUAAAGGAAGUGACCAUUCAUGUGUAAUCAGUUGUCCAAAUUAGAGCAAGAAGUCUGUGGAUGGGGAAACAAAACAAAGAUGAAAAACAAAGGACAAAACACUAACACUUUUUGAUAGAUUGUUUUGUGUCUGUACUAUAAAAGAAUUCUGUGUGAAUUAUGCCCUCAAAGCAACCCUCUAAGACAGUUGCUGUGAAUAUCCUGUUUUAGAGAUAAAUUGAGCACAGAGAGGAGAUAUCGGCCUUGCCUUCCUCACAUCCCUUCCUUUCUCUUCAGAUCCUGGGGCAAGACUUCUGAAGUCUGGGAUGUUUGCCCUGCUAACUGGAUGCAUGUGGAGCUGAGAGGAGCACUGAAUUGUAUAGAGGAUUUGAGAGGUGUCACUGGAGUGGCCUCCUGGGAAAGCUGACCAUUGAGCAUCCUGGUUUCUCCCCGGAAGUCUCAGCCAGG